GAUCAAUGAAGACAAUGUCCUCUUCAUUGUUGAGAACAUGAAUGUUGCUGCAAUAGAGACAACUGUUUGGGCGCUUGAGUGGGCAAUUGCAGAACUCAUCAACAACCCUAAGAUCCAAGCAAAACUUCGGACUGAGAUUGACACCAUUCUCGGCCC
This is a non-coding RNA of Sesamum indicum (sesame), 156 nucleotides long. The record is from RefSeq and is a predicted model, not a curated record. NCBI's taxonomy places the organism in Eukaryota, Viridiplantae, Streptophyta, Magnoliopsida, Lamiales, Pedaliaceae.